AACUUAAGCAUAUUCACUAAGCGGAGGAAAAGAAACUAACCAGGAUUCCCUCAGUAACGGCGAGUGAAGAGGGAAGAGCCCAGCACCGAAGCCUGUGGCCGUUUGGUCCCUAGGCAAUGUGGUGUUCAGGUUGGCUCGCGGGGAUACUGCUCCAUCCUAAGUCCUAUAAUGAGUAAGGUUACUCGGACAUGGCCCAUUGAGGGUGAAAGGCCCGUGGGGGUGGAGAGUCAGACUGGCCAGUAUCUCCCUGAGCAGACCUUGGAGUCGGGUUGUUUGUGAAUGCAGCCCAAAGUGGGUGGUAAACUCCAUCCAAGGCUAAAUACUAGCACGAGUCCGAUAGCGAACAAGUACCGUGAGGGAAAGUUGAAAAGUACUUUGAAGAGAGAGUAAACAGUGCGUGAAACCGUUCAGAGGUAAACGGGUGGAGUUGAACUGCAAGCUCUGAGGAUUCAACUGGUGAGAUUGGCGUGAGCUUGGUCACGUGAGUGGUAUUGCCGUGUCUGCUUAGCUGCAGGUCCUCGCUUCGGUGGGGAUGCGCGUCUAGCUUAUCAAGCUUUGCGCGCACGGGAACUUUUCGAACUCGCUUGCCAGUGCACUUUCUCAGAGUGUUCACCACGACCGGCGUUGUCGUCUGGCUGGUGCGGUUAAACCGGUCUUGUAGGGUCCUUGUGGCCUUGCUUGGUCGGGAUGGCAGGUAGCCCGUUGUGUAUUUCUAUAUGCUUCGGGUGUAAUAGCCGACUGCAUCGGUUCUGUGCGGUACGUCGGAGACGGCGGCUUGUUGUGCGUGCGAGCGUGCCUGUGUGCUGGCGGCUCUGGGUCUGGUUGCCUUGUUGCUUGUGAAUGCAGGCCAGGUGAUGGCUCGGGGUCGUUCGGUGUGCGGUUGCGUUCGUGGCACUUUGAAGGGCCAAUAGUCUGUGGUGUAGUGGUAGACUAUCCACCCGACCCGUCUUGAAACACGGACCAAGGAGAGUAACAUGUGCGCGAGUCAUUGGGCGUUACGAAACCCAAAGGCGCAGUGAAAGUAAAGGUUCGGCUUGUCCGGGCUGAGGUGAGAUCUUGUCGUUUCCCACGCAUGGUACUACCAAGCAUCGAGCGGCAGGCGCAUCACCGGCCCGUCCCAUGACGUAGUGGCGGCUUCGUGCUUGCUCAUCGUCGGGGCGGAGCAUGAGCGUACAUGUUGAGACCCGAAAGAUGGUGAACUAUGCUUGCGCAGGUUGAAGCCAGAGGAAACUCUGGUGGAGGACCGCAGCGAUUCUGACGUGCAAAUCGAUCGUCAAACGUGAGUAUAGGGGCGAAAGACUAAUCGAACCAUCUAGUAGCUGGUUCCCUCCGAAGUUUCCCUCAGGAUAGCA
This is a ribosomal RNA of 1352 nucleotides. It matches the Rfam family "Eukaryotic large subunit ribosomal RNA", at positions 31 to 983 of the family's 3401-position model.